AGAGUUUGAUCAUGGCUCAGAACGAACGCUGGCGGCAGGCUUCAUACAUGCAAGUCGAGCGAUUAAAGCCCCUUCGGGGGUGUAUAAAGCGGCGAACGGGUGAGUAACAGGUGGAUAAUCUGCCUCCUGGCGGGGGAUAACGGCUGGAAACGGCCGCUAAUACCGCAUGUGAUUGCCGGUUUACGAACCGGCAAUGAAAGGCGCUUCACGGCGUCGCCAGGAGAUGAGUCCGCCCCCCAUUAGCUAGUUGGCGGGAUAAUAGCCCACCAAGGCUUCGAUGGGUAGCCGAGCUGAGAGGUUGAUCGGCCACACUGGAACUGAGACACGGUCCAGACACCUACGGGUGGCAGCAGUAGGGAAUAUUGCGCAAUGGGCGAAAGCCUGACGCAGCCAUGCCGCGUGAGUGACGAAGGCCUUCGGGUCGUAAAGCUCUUUUCUGAGGGAAGAACAUCCAUGGGAGGAAAUGCCCUUGGCUUGACGGUACCUCAGGAAUAAGGAACGGCUAACUCCGUGCCAGCAGCCGCGGUAAUACGGAGGUUCCUAGCGUUGUUCGGAAUUACUGGGCGUAAAGGGAGCGCAGGCGGAUCGGUCAGUGGAAAGUGGAAUCCCGGGGCUCAACCUCGGAAGUGCUUUCCAUACUGCCGGUCUUGAGUACGUGAGAGGAAGGCGGAAUUCAGGGUGUAGCGGUGAAAUGCUUAGAUAUCCUGAGGAACACCAGUGGCGAAAGCGGCCUUCUGGCACUGUACUGACGCUGAGGCUCGAAAGCGUGGGGAGCGAACGGGAUUAGAUACCCCGGUAGUCCACGCCGUAAACGUUGUGCACUAGGUGCGGGAGGUAUCGACCCCUUCCGUGCCGCAGUUAACGCAUUAAGUGCACCGCCUGGGGAGUACGCGCGCAAGCGUGAAACUCAAAGGAAUUGACGGGGGCCCGCACAAGCGGUGGAGCAUGUGGUUUAAUUCGAGGCAACGCGAAGAACCUUACCCAGACUUGACAUCCCGUGAUCGCCAUGGAAACAUGGUUUUCCCUUCGGGGACGCGGUGACAGGUGUUGCAUGGCUGUCGUC
Molecule: ribosomal RNA, 1063 nt
Filed under: uncultured bacterium
Lineage: Bacteria
Description: bacterial SSU rRNA
Rfam family: Bacterial small subunit ribosomal RNA
Source: RNAcentral